This is a long non-coding RNA of Pseudopipra pipra, 995 nucleotides long. RefSeq lists it as uncharacterized. The record is from RefSeq and is a predicted model, not a curated record. The transcript is spliced from 3 exons. Lineage: Eukaryota; Metazoa; Chordata; Aves; Passeriformes; Pipridae.
AAGAAAAAAAAAAAAGGAAACACCUAAUUCUCACUGGACUUCCGAAAAAACCUCACGACUCGACUCAGCUAACCCAGUGUCUCUUCCCCCGACCAAGCGACAGCGGCGGGUGGCGAUCCGCGCUGCGGGGGGCCCGGGGAUGCGCUUCCCGGCCAGGGGCGACCCGCGCCCGGACACCGCAGCCGCGCGGCCCCGCUGCCCCCGAGCGCGGCUCGGCCUGCCCGCGAGAAUCGCUCCCGAGGGCCAGAACGGAGAACAGCAAAGAAAAUAUAUGAUCAGAAUAACCCACCACGCACGCAGAGGAAGAACAAGAAACCGUCCUGGAAAGGGAACUAAAGAAGCGGAGAAAAUAAGCUAACCAUUUACAACUGCCUCCAUACAUCCCGAGGAGACGGAGGGAGCCAUCUCUUACCGCCUCUGCACUGGCUGGAAAGCUGUCUUUAGUAACUUUUUCUCUACUUCCAAGGCACUAGAUCGAUCUAAAAAGAGAAGGGGAAAAAAAGUGUUCCUUUAUAGCCCCCGUUUUAUUCCUCCCAUCCCUGAAUUAAGCCUCGAGAUUCAAGAUCUUUUCUCAGCGAGUUGCAAAUACGACACAACGACUGCUCUGCUGCAGGGGUGACCGUCAGAGAAAACACACCGACCCCCGAGCGAGCCUGACCUGGCGGCCGGGUCCUUCCCGCAAAAGCGACGACAACAGCAACAAAAAAUUAUCUCCGUUGGAGGAAGGUUUCUUCAGAAGGGGGAGGAGAAGAGAAGGGGACAAGAGUGCGUGUGCGCCUUUCCUUCAAGGUUUGGGGAGCUAAAAUGAUUUAGUACCUUGUCUGUAAAUCUAAUGACCUAAGGUGAGAAAAAAUACUUCAUCUUUUAUUAUUACCAUUUGUGGUGAGCGUUACCAGGAAACAGCAGAACCCUUUUGAAAUGGUAAAUAUAUGUAUCCAUUUAAAACCCAUUAUUGCUGAGAUUUUCCCAAAGAGAAAUAAAGCAAAUCUGCCCAA